GAUGAAGAACGUAGCGAAAUGCGAUAACUAAUGUGAAUUGCAGAAUUCAGUGAAUCAUCGAGUCUUUGAACGCACAUUGCGCCCCCUGGUAUUCCGGGGGGCAUGCCUGUCCGAGCGUCAUUGCUGCCCUCAAGCACGGCUUGUGUGUUGGGCUCCGUCCCCCCGGGGACGGGCCCGAAAGGCAGCGGCGGCACCGAGUCCGGUCCUCGAGCGUAUGGGGCUUUGUCACCCGCUCUGUAGGCCCGGCCGGCGCCAGCCGACAACCCAUCAUCCUUUUCAGGUUGACCUCGGAUCAGGUAGGGAUACCCGCUGAACUUAAGCAUGUCAAUAAGCGGAGGA
This 339-nucleotide unclassified non-coding RNA is filed under the name soil metagenome. RNAcentral describes it as "partial contains 5.8S ribosomal RNA, internal transcribed spacer 2, and large subunit ribosomal RNA". The stretch from base 1 to 120 matches the Rfam family "5.8S ribosomal RNA", at positions 35 to 154 of the family's 154-position model. The record is from RNAcentral.